CAUUUUUUUACCUGAAGUGUCAGUGGGAUGGGAUCCUAAUGAACUGGAAACCUGGUUGAGGAAAGAAAGAAAUGGGCCAUCUCUGUUAUGGUGGUUACCAUAUUUAGAAGAUUCAAUACCUUGGAGAGUUUCUAGAAAAGACCAUUCUUUUGGUGCAUAUAUGUCCACAGUGAUAGACAAACAUGAAAAUGCAGGGUCCUACUCCAUCUGAAUUCAGGAGAGAAACAUCACCAUCCUACAAUGUGAGGAGAGCCCUCAUUCAUAUUAGUCUCUUUAAAACACUUACCCAGAGGAAGAAGGGGAGGAGGAAGCAAAGACAGCAGUAGGAGUGGUGAAGAUAACAGCCGUAGAACCCACAUCACCUACAUGCCACUAAAGAAACCCAGAAUUGUU
Pogona vitticeps (central bearded dragon) is the source of this 393-nucleotide non-coding RNA. The record is from RefSeq and is a predicted model, not a curated record. NCBI's taxonomy places the organism in Eukaryota, Metazoa, Chordata, Lepidosauria, Squamata, Agamidae.